GUCGGCAUAGUUCAACUGGAUAGAACAUGGGCCUCCGGAGCCUAAGAUCUGGGUUCAAAUCCCAGUACCGACA
This 73-nucleotide transfer RNA is filed under the name Candidatus Pacebacteria bacterium CG_4_10_14_0_8_um_filter_43_12. RNAcentral describes it as "tRNA-Arg". It matches the Rfam family "tRNA". From Rfam's summary of the family: Transfer RNA (tRNA) molecules are approximately 80 nucleotides in length. Their secondary structure includes four short double-helical elements and three loops (D, anti-codon, and T loops). Lineage: Bacteria; Bacillati; Minisyncoccota. The record is from RNAcentral. RNAcentral also lists the same sequence under 1 other name.